UCAGAGGCAGAAAGAUAACAUUCUAGAAUACUCCACUGUUCAGAGGCAGAAAGAUAACAUUCUAGAAUACUCCACUGUUCAGAGCACAGCUAGACGCAGACAGGCUGGCCAGUACACACUGAUCAAUAUUUGAACAAUAUGUUCCCGGUUCCCCCUAGGUUCAAGGUUCAAAGCCAUGAAGCGAUCCGCAAGAAAGCCAAGGGUCUUUUUUAACUAUACCCGAGAGAAAUAGGUCAGGGCGAAGAGAAGACACUAACGCACACACACUCGCGCAGGCACAGUUUAACUGGCGAAACGAACGGCAAACGAAAAAACCAACAACAAAACACGAAUGAUGAAAAGAGGGGAGAAGAAGCAAAAGCAAGAGGGACAUUCCUUUUUCCUCGCUGAAAGAGAGGAACCUUGGUACGCGGGAACACGCUCUCACCCUCACCCCAAAAUCCUGGAGACACUGACCCCCUCUGUGACCCCGUGUGACCUCCGAAUUUCAGAAUGUUUCUCUGAAGCUCUCUCUUCAAUAAAUAACCACUGCUCCGUUG
Molecule: long non-coding RNA, 539 nt
Organism: Anguilla rostrata (American eel)
Lineage: Eukaryota; Metazoa; Chordata; Actinopteri; Anguilliformes; Anguillidae
Exons: 2
Source: RefSeq, a predicted model, not a curated record